AAUAAACCAAUCUUUCACUUUUUACCUAUAAUUUUUGACUUUUCGUCUUAUUUAAAAAACUUGUACGAUUAAUAUUUUUAUUUUUAUUGAAUGAUAAAUCAUAAAUAGUAUCUUACAUGUGACUAAUUUUUUAAUUUUUUGAAAAAAAAUCAAAUAAGACGAAUGCUCAAACGCUAAACACAAGAACCGAAAAGUUGCCUUAUC
This 204-nucleotide microRNA precursor is filed under the name Oryza brachyantha (malo sina). RNAcentral describes it as "MIR812 microRNA precursor family". It matches the Rfam family "MIR812 microRNA precursor family". The record is from Rfam by way of RNAcentral. Lineage: Eukaryota; Viridiplantae; Streptophyta; Magnoliopsida; Poales; Poaceae.